AGGGGUUUAGGUUAAUUCUAAACCAAGAGCCUUCAAAGCUCUCAAUGGAGGUUACACCCCUUCAACCCUUG
This 71-nucleotide transfer RNA is filed under the name Trachonurus sulcatus (bristly grenadier). RNAcentral's name for it is "tRNA-Trp". It matches the Rfam family "tRNA". From Rfam's summary of the family: Transfer RNA (tRNA) molecules are approximately 80 nucleotides in length. Their secondary structure includes four short double-helical elements and three loops (D, anti-codon, and T loops). The record is from RNAcentral. Lineage: Eukaryota; Metazoa; Chordata; Actinopteri; Gadiformes; Macrouridae.